AUUAUAAUUAUAAUUUUUUUCCAUUUAUUUAAAAAAAAUGCACGCUGCUUUACUUGCAUCACAGUAACAUGUCAUAAUAUCCCUCAAUUAUUGUUCUUUGCCUGUGUAUUCAGUAUGCCGUCCCAGGACCUAAACGUUGAGGUUGGAGCUGAUGAAUUUAAUGACAUUCGGAACUCCAUUAUUGACUGGGAUGAUAGCACCUGGUACCCUGAUAAAGAGUCAGAGUCUUUGUCAUCAUCAGAAGAAGAUGUAACCAGGGAGGUCGAUUCUGACGAUGACAGUGAAGAAUCAACCUAUAAGCCUCGUAUUUGUGUGAGGACUGGUGGUGCUCUCAACAGUAAAAUUUGCUUGGAUGCUCUUCCUACAAUCAGCAUGGAAGACACUGUGCAUGAUGUUUCAGCCAAUAUCCCAGAUCCUACCGACACAGACCUUCACACAUUUCCAGAGUCAUGUAAAGUUAUGGUGGAGGAUGAUAUUAUUGGUCAUCCUGCUUCUAUCACAUAUCAUGACAGCCUGAAGCAGCUUGCUGAGUAUCUCUGUCUACCUGUAAACACGUGUCCUGGUAAAGACUCAAAGACCAAGCAAAAGUGCAUGGAAACUCAC
RNAcentral lists this long non-coding RNA (603 nucleotides) under Gouania willdenowi (blunt-snouted clingfish). Its description in RNAcentral is "lncRNA (ENSGWIG00000005775.1)". Lineage: Eukaryota; Metazoa; Chordata; Actinopteri; Blenniiformes; Gobiesocidae. The record is from RNAcentral.